GACGAACGCUGGCGGCGUGCUUAACACAUGCAAGUCGAACGGAAAGGCCCUGCUUUUGCGGGGUGCUCGAUUGGCGAACGGGUGAGUAACACGUGAGUAACCUGCCCCUGACUUUGGGAUAACUUCAGGAAACUGGGGCUAAUACCGGAUAGGAGCUCUUGCUGCAUGGUGGGGGAUGGAAAGUUUCGGCGGUUGGGGCUGGACUCGCGGCUUAUCAGCCUGUUGGUGGGGUAGUGGCUUACCAGGGCUUUGACGGAUAGCCGGCCUGGGAGGGUGACCGGCCACAUUGGGACUGAGAGAGGGCCCAGACGCCAACGGGAGGCAGCAGUGGGGAGUAUUGCGCAGUGGGCGGAAGCCUGAGACAGCAACGCCGCGAGCGGGAUAACGGCCUUCGAGUUGUGAACCGCUUUCGCCUGUGACGAAGCGUGAGUGACGGUAAUGGGUAAGGAAGCACCGGCUAACUACGUG
This 468-nucleotide ribosomal RNA is filed under the name uncultured bacterium. RNAcentral describes it as "partial 16S ribosomal RNA". It matches the Rfam family "Bacterial small subunit ribosomal RNA", at positions 28 to 507 of the family's 1533-position model. The record is from RNAcentral.